This 467-nucleotide ribosomal RNA is filed under the name uncultured bacterium. Its description in RNAcentral is "partial 16S ribosomal RNA". It matches the Rfam family "Bacterial small subunit ribosomal RNA", at positions 29 to 507 of the family's 1533-position model. The record is from RNAcentral.
AGCGAACGCUGGCGGCAUGCCUAACACAUGCAAGUCGAACGGCAGCUUCGUGAGUGGUUGCUCUUACGGGUGUCGAGUGGGGGACGGGGCAGGUAUACACCGGAUUCUACCCUUUCGGGGGGGCUAAUGCAGGGAAACUUACUCUAAUACCGCAUACAACCCCCGGGUGUAAGCAGGGGAUCUUUAGACCGUUCGCGAUUGGAUGGGCCGAUGACGGAUUAGCUAGUUGGCAGGGUAAAGGCCUACCAAGGCGACGAUCCGUAGCUGGGCUGAGAGGAUGAUCCGCCACACUUGGACUGAGACACGGCCCAGAAUCCUACGGGAGGCAGCAGUGGGGAAUAUUGGACAAUGGGCGAAAGCAUGAUCCAGCAAUGCCGCGUGAGUGAUGAAGGCGGUAGGGUAGUAAAGCUCGUUUACCCGGGAUGAUAAUGACAGUACCGGGAGAAUAAGCUCCGGCUAACUCCGUG